UACGUAGGGGGCGAGCGUUGUCCGGAUUUAUUGGGCGUAAAGAGCGUGUAGGCGGUUCGGCAAGUCUGUCGUGAAAUCCUGAGGCUCAACCUCGGACGUGCGAUGGAUACUGCCGGGCUAGAGGAUGGUAGAGGCGAGUGGAAUUCCCGGUGUAGCGGUGAAAUGCGCAGAUAUCGGGAGGAACACCAGUAGCGAAGGCGGCUCGCUGGGCCAUUCCUGACGCUGAGGUGCGAAAGCGUGGGGAGCAAACAGG
This 253-nucleotide ribosomal RNA is filed under the name uncultured bacterium. Its description in RNAcentral is "partial 16S ribosomal RNA". It matches the Rfam family "Bacterial small subunit ribosomal RNA", at positions 524 to 776 of the family's 1533-position model. The record is from RNAcentral.